RNAcentral lists this unclassified non-coding RNA (578 nucleotides) under Hevea brasiliensis (rubber tree). The record is from RNAcentral. Lineage: Eukaryota; Viridiplantae; Streptophyta; Magnoliopsida; Malpighiales; Euphorbiaceae.
GGUGUAAAAUUUACUAUGCAUCAUUAAGAUAUUAUUUUUCGUUUGAAAUACAUUAAGUGGUAGCUAAGUGAAAUAACAAUUAAACUUUCGUAAUUUUUCUGAUAACCGAUGAACACAGCCACAAAUUUUUUUUAGAGAAAGUAAAUUAUUUUGUACAAGAAACAUAGAAAAGGGAUGUAAUUAACAAUAGCUCGAGAAAUAGUAAUUCUUUAUUAUUACGAGUUUUCAAAGCAUAUUAUCAAGAAUUGCAUCCAUACACCACAACUGAAAUACGAAAUCAUCUGCAACAUAUAUGAUCUUUUGAAUCAGGAAAGAACUGUAAUACAUGCAGCAUACCAAUUUGUAGCCAUUCAAACAUGCCGAUAAAGAUAAUAUACCAAAGUACCAAAGAAUCCUGUAAAAACGAUAAAUAAAAACUGAAAGGAAGAUAAAAAUUUACAACUCGCCUGAGAUGGAUGGAUUGGAAAAUCGAGCAAUAUUCAAUCCAGCUGAUGAACAGAAAUUUCACACUAUUCUCAGACUCUCAAAAACCUGACAGAUCAAUUUUGCGUACCCUUUAAUCGAUGAUAACUUCUUUG